GACGAACGCUGGCGGCGUGCUUAACACAUGCAAGUCGAACGGUGAAGGGAUCAGCUUGCUGGUUCUGGAUGAGUGGCGAACGGGUGAGUAACACGUGAGUAACCUGCCCCCUUCUUCUGGAUAACCGCAUGAAAGUGUGGCUAAUACGGGAUAUUCUGCGCCUGCUGCAUGGUGGGUGUGGGAAAGAUAUUGUUUCGGUGGGGGAUGGGCUCGCGGCCUAUCAGCUUGUUGGUGGGGUGAUGGCCUACCAAGGCGGUGACGGGUAGCCGGCCUGAGAGGGUGGACGGUCACACUGGGACUGAGACACGGCCCAGACUCCUACGGGAGGCAGCAGUGGGGAAUAUUGCACAAUGGGCGCAAGCCUGAUGCAGCGACGCCGCGUGAGGGAUGGAGACCUUCGGGUUGUGAACCUCUUUCGCCAGUGAAGCAGGCCUGUCCCUUGUGGGUGGGUUGACGGUAGCUGGAUAAGAAGCGCCGGCUAACUACGUG
This 489-nucleotide ribosomal RNA is filed under the name uncultured bacterium. RNAcentral's name for it is "partial 16S ribosomal RNA". It matches the Rfam family "Bacterial small subunit ribosomal RNA", at positions 28 to 507 of the family's 1533-position model. The record is from RNAcentral.